ACUCAACUGACUGAGACACCCAGGUGCCCCCAAACACGACUGAUUUUUGUAUCCAGCAAUCUUGCCAAAUUUAUCAGCAGUAACACUUUUUUGGUGGACUCCUUAGGACUUUCUAUAUACAAGAUCAUGUAACCUACAAAUAGUUUAACUUCCUUUUCCAUGUGGGUAUCUUUUUUUUUUCCUAAUUGCUCUGGCCUGAACCUCUAGUCCAAUGUUCAAUACAUGUCAUGAGAGUGGACAUCUUGGUCUUGUUCCUGAUCUUAGAUGGCUUGCCUUCUUGUGCUUUUGUCAUCAUCACUGAGAACUUCUGGACAACUUCUGCAGUCUAGUCCAAGUCCGAAGAACACAGAUGGAGCAGACCCGAGCUCAACUCAUGGCAAGCAGUCAAGCUCAGCCAGAUCUCCAGCUUGAAGCAGUCAUCCAGCCAAGCCUGUCAGCCAACCUGCAAAAGCAUGAGUGAGAACGAUUAUUUUAAGUUGAGCAGAUUUGGAGCAGCAAUAGCAACUGAAACCUAAGUAUAUGUCUUUCCAUGAUGAGAUGAGAACUCCUAGAGGAUACCACCACGCCUUCUAGGUUCACUUUCUGCCCAUCCCCACCCUCAAGUAUAUAUAUGGCAGGCAAGCAAUAAAUGUUUGUUGAGUGAAUAUUUGAAAAACCCCAUUAGGCUCAUCUAAAUUCUAAAACAGCUUUUGUGAGAAGUCAAGUUUUUAAAGAAGGGUAAGAACUAGUCAGAAUACUAAUUAGCCAUUAAAAGAUAAAGAAGUUUGAAAAAAAAAAGUUUGCACGUAAAAA
Long non-coding RNA from Prionailurus viverrinus (fishing cat), 792 nucleotides. RefSeq lists it as uncharacterized. The transcript has 3 exons. NCBI's taxonomy places the organism in Eukaryota, Metazoa, Chordata, Mammalia, Carnivora, Felidae. The record is from RefSeq and is a predicted model, not a curated record.